UCUUUAGACUUGUUAGCACUAAUUAAAUUUGGGGGGGGGGGGGGUACCAUAAUAAAUGCACUGUCAUUUUAAAGUGAAUUUUCCAACUUGCUGUUAAUUGAAACGGUAAUGAACUGUAUUUUUGUAUUGAAUUUUUACCGUGGAUUCUUCUUAAAAAUCUUACUCUGUGAUUUUGUUGUUGUUGUUCUGUUGAUGUCCUACAUGUACAAUUGACAGAGGUAGGCAUAAAGACAAGGCUUUUUCCUUCUUUAGUUCUUGUACGUUUGUGUUCUGCUGGGUCUAGACUGGCUCUAGUGUAAUGAUGAGCAGAAGAGAGGUCCUGAGCGUAUCUGGUUUGUCCCUAAUUGUUUGGGAGAAAACAACAUCAUGCCAUUUAAAUGUUCUUUGUUAUUUUUUGAACAUUGUGUUAUCAGUUUUCCUUUAUUAGGUCGCACACGCGUUACCAUCUGUUCUCCAGUGUAAGCUGUAUGACUGUUGAAUAUUAUAAAAUAGUUUCUAGCAACUCCUAAGAUGAUUACAGGCAAAUUAUAUGAAUUGAUUUUAGAGUUUUCUCUUGUAUAAUAUAACAUCAGUGUAGGAAAUGCAUGUGACAUAUGUAAAGUCAUCAGAAAUAUUAAAAAAUAAUUAUCUGUGAAAUGAAAUUCAGCCCUAAAUGUAGAAUGUGCUUUCACACCAGAUACCCCACUUGAACUGAACCUCGGUGAUAGGCCCCCUCACUCUGAUGUAUGUAACUAGUAUGUUGAAUCAUACAUAGAUACACAUGUAUGUAUAAUAAUAUACAUAUAUAUUUUAAGCAAUUUGGGUAUCAAUUUGUAGUGUUAUUUCAAAGGGUUGUUUUAUUCUUUACCUUGCAGCUGGUCAUUCAUAUUUAUCUAUGUCAGUGUCGACAGGUACAAAAAUACACGCAUGGUGACACAUAGGUCCCUCCUGGCCCCCGCUGUUGUGCCACAUUUUCCUUAGUACUUAUAUUUGAUUUGCUCGUGUGUUGUUUUCCUCCGAAAGAAUUGAAGAUCCAUGAGGUUCAUAAUUUUUUUGUUCAGGGCUCUAGCCCUAGUGCCUUCAGGUACGAGGGCCCAUGUCGCUGUAACCUAAAUCAGUUGUACUAAAUGAAAGAGCCAGAGGUAAGGGCUUCAAACAAAGCGGUCUUUCACAGGAGACAGGAAUUUGCCCGGAAAGGAGCACGAGGGCGUAAGCACGGGAUAGGAUGCUUCCGUUGGCGCUUCCCCAUAGUGCUGAGCGAAACCAAGCUUGUCUCCGUAUCAUGUUGGGAAACGGCAGUUACGGUGACAAAACGGCUGUGAGUAAGGGGUGUGUGAAAGACGUACAAGUGGUAGGCAUUUGCAUGGUGUUAUUUGUGGACCAUUCUGCCUUCCCCCUUCUGUGAACCAGUUUUAGUAACGUCUGCUUUACAGAGCUGAUACAUGUGUAUAAAGCUCUUGGUAAAGAUUUUUGCAUGCAAUGGGUACUCAAUGGUACAUUUAAAAAAAUGAAUGUUGUAGAUUAUUAAAGUAUUUGAUGGUUUCAAGCUGAGCGUGUUUGGGAGUUCCUUAGUCAGCUGGGGCUGCUAUAGCAAAAAUACCACAGACUGUGAGGCUUAUAACCAGCAAAUAAGUAUUUGUCACAGUUCUGGAAGCUGGGAAGUCCAAGAUCAAGGUGCAGGUAGAUUUGGCAUCUGUUGAAGGCCAUCUUCCUGGUUCAUAGAUGGCUGUCUUUUCACUGUAUCCUCCCUUGGUGGAAGGGUCCAGGGAGCUCUCUGGAGCCUCUGUUAUGAGGGCACUAAUUCCGUUCAUGAGGUCUAGGAGGACUCCUAGGAUUCAGCCUUCGGUCAUGAUCAUGGCCGUGAUUUAUUGCAGCAGCAAGAAUAAAGCAGGAUCAACCCAGGAGAUAGGUGCCUGAGGCCAAGUACUAAGGAGAACAGGUACAGGGUCCCCUCUAGUGACAUUGCAAAGCAGCCAAGUGUGGCAACACAUUUGAAAUUAGCAGGGCAACUAAUGAGAGACUUGGUUACAGAGUUUUUAUUGGCACUUGUCAUGCAGACAUCUCCUUCCUGGCCUGAUGCACAUGGUACAUCCGUCCUGAGGCAGGUCUUUGGCAGAAGCCCUAUUGUUUACGUAAAAAGGAAGAUGGAGCCACUUGUAUCAGGGUGCUGGAAACUCCCGACAUCCGAGAUCCCUCCCAUGUGCGGGUCAAGGGCCAACCUUGCAUGUGGGACGUUCUGAGGAUAAGGACUUUCAGGCCUCCUCAGCUAACACCUCUUGGACAAGGCAUCUUUACAGCAAAAUUAUUAAGAACACGGUGUCCUGUGAGGACACAUACCUGAGAAGUACAGUCCUGGAGGGCACCCUCAGUCCCCUGGAAACACAGUUUGCAGUAGUGCCUUGCAGGAUGUGUUGGUCAGGUAGCCAGGUCCCCAGGGCCCCCACUGUGGCCUCAGAGUUCUCAGCGCAGACCUAAUAAUUCAGCGCAGUUCUUGCUUCAGAGGGACUGCCUGAGGUGGUCUGUUUCAGACAGUUUCACUUAUCCAUGGCACCGGUUUGCCCACCUCACCAGUCAGACACAUGGAGGUGAUCUGUCAGCAGGGAAGCUCCCAGCUGUGAAGGGAUCAGCUUGGUUUUAGAUGGUCCCAUUGGAGAACAGGGCCUUGGUCACAGACAACUGUAAGUGACCCCACCAGACCCACUGGCAUCUGUGAGGUUUUCACAGUUCGGGGCUCACAGAGUGCUGCUGUGAAUCAUCCACAUUCCUAGAGCUGAAAUCCUGCUCAUGGAGCUUACUCCUGCUCUUGGGCCGGCACAAUGUAUACUGAGGCUGCAGCAGCCCAUCGUGGACUCUUGGGUUUUAGCUCAUGGUCAAAUCUAGGAGGUCAAAAUGCAAGCUAUGUGAAUUCAGAAUGCCAUCAAACACUAGGGUCUUUCUUCUCAGGAGCAAAGCGGAGACACUGCAGGGGCAGACAUCUGGGUUCCACAUGCAAGUAGCAGAUGAGACUGUCCUAAGCCAUUGUUGUCUCGUCUGUCUUAGAAUCCAAACUGACCCACUGCUGGACAACCAUCAGCCUCUGCAGGUCAUCAGAAAUAGGUCUUCUUAAGAACUCUUUAGCAAACUGGAAACUUUUACUUGAAAUUCCAAAAAUCGACUUCCCAUGUAGAGAUGGCUUGUUUGUUUGUUUGUUUUUACUUUGUUGCCUUCUUUUUUUAACCUAGGUAAAAAUCAUAGUAAAAAGCCAUCAGUUAUGGAGACCUAAUCUUAUUUCUAAUACUGAGAGGCUAAAUUCCAUCCCAUGCACCAGUGGCAGAAAGCGAGGAUGUGGCGUCACACAGACAUUUUUUUCUUUGCACGGAUCGGGAUGGCCCUACUAGCGCCGAUAGAAUCAUAAGGUUGCACCAUUUACCUCCAUUUUUGUCGUACAUGCAAGAUGCAGGAAUGACAAAUCAAAACCAUUUUAAGUAAAAGUCUCUCCCCCCUUCAUUCUCAUUGCAAUUCAGUCAGACCCUGUGUUAGUUUCCUAAGGCUCCAGAACAAGUGGCCACAGUGGGGGCUUGAAAUUUUGUCGCCUCACAGUUCUGGAGUCUGGAGGUCAGAGAUCAAGGUGUUGACCGGCUCGUGCUCCCUCAGGGCCCUUGAGGCUUCUGGGAACCCUCGUUGUCCAUUACGGUUUCCAGUACCUUCAGGCAUUUGUUCCUGUGGCAGCACAGUCUCUGUGUCGUCUUCACAUGGCCGUUUUCCCUAGGCUUCUCUGCCCUCGUGUGGCAUUUUCCUCUUCUGAUAAGGACACCAGUCAGGUUUGGGCCCAUUGUAAUGACCUCAUCGUGACUCAAUUACACCCGCAAAGACACUAUGUCCAAGUAAAACCACUCUCAUAGGUGCCAGGGGUUAGUAUUUAAACAUAUCUUGUGUGGGGACAGUUCAAUGGAUAACAAGGCCCUAGUUACAAAUUCAGCAUUUACAGGGGUAAAAUUAUAGCUGCUGGGGAAGGUCCUGGCCGGAAUGCCAGGGUGGGUCAGGAGGCUACUGCAGCCCCAGCUGGCUGAGCUCUGCACCCCAUUUCCCCUUGGUUUAUCUAAAGUUUUUACUUUUUUUCUCCCAAAUGAAUGCAAACUUUUAGCACUUUUUGCCCAUCCAAAGCUCACCUUUGAGAAAUUGGGGGUUCUUUGUUCUGUGUGCUAGAAGAGAGAACAAAACUCAAAGGUCAUACUAGGGCUGCCUUUGUUUUUGUUUGUUUGUUUGCUUUCUCCUGUCACAUAGCUGACAGGGCCAGAAGUAGCCCAUCUGUGCAGGGAGCCAGCCCUCCUGGAGUUAGAUCUGUCAUUUUUACCUCUGUCAGCUUGACCUCCCACCAGACAGCAGCUCAGCCGCCCUUUCAAACCACGGACAGCUCCAUAGCCACCCAGCACCAGAGCCCCAUCCCCUCCCUCUUCAUCCUCCCUCUUCCCAGUGUUUUUGCCGUGUUUCGAUGGGUCACGCACGGUGUUCCAGCAAACCUACUUCUGAUGUCUCAAAGACCGCUCCCAGGCCCUGCUAUCAGGACUCUCAUGACUCAGCAUAUAGUUGCGUUCUUAACUAUGAUUUGUUACAACAAAAGGACACAGGUAAAUCGUCAACAGGAAAAGGCACAUGGGGAGAAAGCUGCAGGAAAACAGGGGCACGCUGUUGAGUCCUUUCCUAAUGGAGUCAGACAGAGUGCACGCAGCAAGGAGUUGUAACAACAUGUGAAAUGUUGUCUACCAGGGAGGCUUGUUAGACCCAGUGCCCAGGGUUUUUACUGACAGCUGGCGUCAGGAAAAUAGGUGUUCGGCAUCAAUGCUGUCAUCUGCACAGACAGUUUAGACACUGUGAGGAAUAUCAAUUCCAGUGGUGUGAUACCUCUCAGGUCCAAGGUCCCAGACACUGGUUAUGGCAAGCUGUGCUUCAGUCGUUUCUAAAAAUAAAAAGUUCAGGCCUGAGGUGUCAAUUCUUCUUCUGCACAAUGGGUGAGGGAGCUUUAUGGGAGGAAAUAUAGCAGAUAACUGUCCCAACGUCAAUUUAGCCAACUUUGGGUCCUUCUGUCAUUCCCCAUACCAACAGCAAGAAUAGUCCUACUUCACUAUUAUACUGUUGAAUGAUAAGUUCUGGCAGCAGAGUUGACUGAGGGUAUUUUCUCUGUCCCCUGCUCAUGGAUGUCAGUGAGUUGAUAUU
Long non-coding RNA from Phyllostomus discolor (pale spear-nosed bat), 5172 nucleotides. RefSeq lists it as uncharacterized. The record is from RefSeq and is a predicted model, not a curated record. Lineage: Eukaryota; Metazoa; Chordata; Mammalia; Chiroptera; Phyllostomidae. The transcript has 2 exons.